GUGAGUCGGAGCUCUAUGGAGGUGGCAGCGGGUACCGAGUGGCGGCUGCAGCAGCGACUCCUCUGAGCUGAGUUUCAGGCCGUCCCCGACUCCUUCCUCCCCCUUCCCUCCCCCUUUUUUUUGUUUUCCGUUCCCCUUUCCCCUCCCUUCCCUAUCCCCGACGACCGGAUCCUGAGGAGGCAGCUGCGGUGGCAGCUGCUGAGUUCUCGGUGAAGGUAUUUCAUUUCUCCUGUCCCCUCCCCUCCCCACCCCAUCUAUUAAUAUUAUUCUUUUGAAGAUUCUUCGUUGUCAAGCCGCCAAAGUGGAGAGUGCGAUUGCAGAAGGGGGUGCUUCUCGUUUCAGGUACUUGUAGAUUUAUUUGGGGGAAUCCUUUUGAAAAGGCCAGUCUCAAAAAGUAGUUACCACAGCAAAUAAGUCCGACUUAAUGGGCUGCAAUUUUCAUUUGAAAAGUUCUUAAGUUUUCUUUGACAGCCUUCUAAGAACUGCCAUCUGAAGAAUAAAUAAAAUCAAUUAUUUGCCUUUC
This 523-nucleotide small RNA is filed under the name Pan troglodytes (chimpanzee). RNAcentral's name for it is "retained intron". Lineage: Eukaryota; Metazoa; Chordata; Mammalia; Primates; Hominidae. The record is from RNAcentral.